RNAcentral lists this ribosomal RNA (1216 nucleotides) under uncultured bacterium. RNAcentral's name for it is "bacterial SSU rRNA". It matches the Rfam family "Bacterial small subunit ribosomal RNA", at positions 297 to 1505 of the family's 1533-position model. The record is from RNAcentral.
AGGAUGAUCAGCCACACCGGGACUGAGACACGGCCCGGACUCCUACGGGAGGCAGCAGUGGGGAAUAUUGGACAAUGGGGGAAACCCUGAUCCAGCCAUGCCGCGUGUGUGAAGAAGGCCUUUUGGUUGUAAAGCACUUUAAGCAGUGAAGAAGACUCUUCGGUUAAUACCCGGAGACGAUGACAUUAGCUGCAGAAUAAGCACCGGCUAACUCUGUGCCAGCAGCCGCGGUAAUACAGAGGGUGCAAGCGUUAAUCGGAAUUACUGGGCGUAAAGGGAGCGUAGGUGGCUCGAUAAGUCAGAUGUGAAAUCCCCGGGCUCAACCUGGGAACUGCAUCUGAUACUGUUGAGCUAGAGUAUGUGAGAGGAAGGUAGAAUUCCAGGUGUAGCGGUGAAAUGCGUAGAGAUCUGGAGGAAUACCGAUGGCGAAGGCAGCCUUCUGGCAUAAUACUGACACUGAGGCUCGAAAGCGUGGGUAGCAAACAGGAUUAGAUACCCUGGUAGUCCACGCCGUAAACGAUGUCUACUAGUCGUUGGGUCCCUUGAGGACUUAGUGACGCAGCUAACGCAAUAAGUAGACCGCCUGGGGAGUACGGCCGCAAGGUUAAAACUCAAAUGAAUUGACGGGGGCCCGCACAAGCGGUGGAGCAUGUGGUUUAAUUCGAUGCAACGCGAAGAACCUUACCUGGUCUUGACAUAUCUAGAAUCCUGCAGAGAUGCGGGAGUGCCUUCGGGAAUUAGAAUACAGGUGCUGCAUGGCUGUCGUCAGCUCGUGUCGUGAGAUGUUGGGUUAAGUCCCGCAACGAGCGCAACCCUUGUCCUUAGUUACCAGCGGGUUAAGCCGGGAACUCUAAGGAUACUGCCAGUGACAAACUGGAGGAAGGCGGGGACGACGUCAAGUCAUCAUGGCCCUUACGACCAGGGCUACACACGUGCUACAAUGGUAGGUACAGAGGGCAGCUACACAGCGAUGUGAUGCGAAUCUCAAAAAGCCUAUCGUAGUCCAGAUUGGAGUCUGCAACUCGACUCCAUGAAGUAGGAAUCGCUAGUAAUCGCGGAUCAGAAUGCCGCGGUGAAUACGUUCCCGGGCCUUGUACACACCGCCCGUCACACCAUGGGAGUUGAUUGCACCAGAAGUGGAUAGCUUAACCUUCGGGGGAGCGUUCACCACGGUGUGGUUGAUGACUGGGGUGAAGUCGUAACAAGGUAACCGUAA